RNAcentral lists this ribosomal RNA (750 nucleotides) under Prauserella salsuginis. Its description in RNAcentral is "bacterial SSU rRNA". It matches the Rfam family "Bacterial small subunit ribosomal RNA", at positions 36 to 794 of the family's 1533-position model. Lineage: Bacteria; Bacillati; Actinomycetota; Actinomycetes; Pseudonocardiales; Pseudonocardiaceae. The record is from RNAcentral.
CUGGCGGCGUGCUUAACACAUGCAAGUCGUACGCUGAAGCCCGCGCUUGCGUGGGUGGAUGAGUGGCGAACGGGUGAGUAACACGUGGGUAAUCUGCCUUGUACUCUGGGAUAAGCCCGGGAAACUGGGUCUAAUACCGGAUAGGACCAUUCCUCGCAUGGGGGGUGGUGGAAAGCUCCGGCGGUAUGAGUUGAGCCCGCGGCCUAUCAGCUUGUUGGUGGGGUGAUGGCCUACCAAGGCGGUGACGGGUAGCCGGCCUGAGAGGGUGACCGGCCACACUGGGACUGAGACACGGCCCAGACUCCUACGGGAGGCAGCAGUGGGGAAUAUUGCACAAUGGGCGCAAGCCUGAUGCAGCGACGCCGCGUGAGGGAUGACGGCCUUCGGGUUGUAAACCUCUUUCGCCAGGGACGAAGGGUGAUACUGACGGUACCUGGAGAAGAAGCACCGGCUAACUACGUGCCAGCAGCCGCGGUAAUACGUAGGGUGCAAGCGUUGUCCGGAAUUAUUGGGCGUAAAGAGCUCGUAGGCGGUGUGUCACGUCUGCCGUGGAAACCUACAGCUUAACUGUGGGCGUGCGGUGGAUACGGGCAUCACUUGAGUUCGGCAGGGGAGACUGGAAUUCCUGGUGUAGCGGUGGAAUGCGCAGAUAUCAGGAGGAACACCGGUGGCGAAGGCGGGUCUCUGGGCCGAUACUGACGCUGAGGAGCGAAAGCGUGGGGAGCGAACAGGAUUAGAUACCCUGGUAGU